Molecule: long non-coding RNA, 2908 nt
Organism: Papaver somniferum (opium poppy)
Lineage: Eukaryota; Viridiplantae; Streptophyta; Magnoliopsida; Ranunculales; Papaveraceae
Exons: 2
Source: RefSeq, a predicted model, not a curated record
CACUCUGCUGAGUUACUCUGUCAUUCAAUGUCGACCGUUUCUGUUCUUCUCAAUAAAAAAGCCUUGGUCAAACCCUAGGUAUUCUCAUCAAAUCUAUUUCGUUCAGUUGCAAUUGAAAACUGUCGAAUGGUUUUCUCAAAGAAAUUUUUUCCCUUUCGUAUUGGUUGAUAAUAUGGAAUCAUCGAUCAAUGGAUUUUUAAAUGAUCAAUCAUCGAAUGAUUCGUUCUUUUAACAUAUGGAAGGACGCAUUGAAUUUGCAAAGGUGUGUUGUUUCAAGUAUCCUUGCCUAAUCCAUGCACAUUGAAAUGACACUUUAUGGAUGCAUUCUAGAUGUUAGGUGAAAUAACAAACAGAACUUUGAUAUACAGAGUUGCAUUUCAUACUGAAGGAAACAAUAGCAGGAGAGAAAGAAUACCGGUAAUGAAAGACACUGUAAGUAUAGCUCUUUUUGUGAUGAUUAUAUAGGUCGGGUUUGCAAUUAUUUAUCAAAUAUCAUCAAACAGAACUUGGUAAGUAUUUUAGUAUGAAAUUAUCGAUAGUGCUUAUGGGUCUGCCACCAAACCCAUUAGAGCUGCAGAUUCAAAAGCCUAGGGGGGUCUGUGUUUCAAAGACAUGAUUUAUUUUUCUAUGUAUUUCGCAGAGAGAAAAAAAAUAUAAAAUUCAAUAAGUGGUUUUGGCAUUUUUUACGAGACGUUGUCUGUAGACACAUACAUUUCAUUGCAGGACAUCACCAAGGGGCUAAAUGGAAUGUGACAAAGGUCGUCGUUAAAAUACUCCAAAAAAAAUGGUUCUACUAAUCCUGAUGUAAUGUAUGCCUCUCGCUGUAUUUUUUUCUUUCUUAUCUCGACUCAAUUUUUUUUUCAUAUGAUCUAAAGAGAAUGUUGUCUAUAGACAUAAUUUUCUUAUCUUUGGUAUUUCCCAAAGAGCAAAAAAAUAUAAAAUUUAAUAAGUAGCUUUGGUAUUUUUAAGAGACGUUGUCCGUAGAUAAAAAGAUUUCCUUGCAGAACUUCACCAAGUGGUUAAAUGGAAUGUGACAGAGGUCGUCGUUAAAAUACUCAAAAAUGAUGGUUCUACUGAUCCUGAUGUAAUGCAUGUCUCUCGCUGUAUUUUUUUCUUUCCUACCUCGAUUUGUUUUUUAUAUGAUCUUAAGAGAAUGUUGUCUUCAUCUUUAGUAUGAUUGCUUCUUAAACCCUGGACCAAUAAGGAAAUUGAAGCCACCAAAGCAAGUUACACUUGAGCUCAUAGUUGGUGGAUUCUAUAAAUCCUCCCAAGCAAGAGUUGCCUAUGAAUUGAUGUACAUAUUCAUCAAGGAUAUGUUCUGGAGUCCUUUGUUUUCUUUGAUCACCGGUUGAAAUAAUUAUAUUGUUGCCCGGUAUAUCUAUUUAUGGUGAGCGUAAAGUUUUUGUAUUAAGACUUCUUUAAUACAAGAUUUAAUUAGAGCCAUUAAAUUUGGAUGAAAGGUAAAUCUGUAUUUAUUUUCUCUCUAUUUUUUUGUUAAAAGAUUCUACUCUUAUAAAAAAUCGAAAUGGUUGGUUAAUAGUUUUUUGGAACUUAUAUGAAUAUUUCCUAUCACAGGUGUACGGUUACAAAUAGGUUCGGGCAAGAAAUUCUUCAUCGGAAUUUGUAAAGGUAAACAAUCUCACAUUACUGUGUUUUUAAACAGAUCUUUGCUGCUUGCUACUUAAGUGUAUCAAAUGUGGCUAUAGUAGCUAUUUGUGAUCAUGAACAGAUGCUUAGGGUUCCCUUUUUCCAAUUUGAUUGUUGUGCAUGAUGUAUAUCACACCAUCCAGACAAGUAGUAUGUCAGUUGAAUAGAAACUGCAAUGUAGGUGUUAAUUCUGCCUCUUAUUUAGUGUUCGAAACCAACUUCUCAGCCACUACAAAGAUUUAAUGGCUAUCAUCAUGUACUCAAAGGAGAUUGAACAUUGUCGGCUAAAAAUUACUUUGAAUUUAUACAUCCAUAUGUUUAUGUAAAUGAACUUUCCUUGCAAUUUAUCACCAUAAAAGAACCACAAAAAAUAGGGCUUCAAUAUUAAUGUGCAUGAUUUUUGUUGAGAUUAAUCAGAUUUACAUCUAUAUGACGACCUUCAUGUAGCUUAGGCAUGGGUGUGCAAAAUACGUUAACUAUUUCGAUGUACUCAGGUUGUCAUGCCAUAUACUUCAAUGUGAUUACUUCGUUAUGUUUUGCCCUACGUCAAAGGCCACUUAUAAGCUUACUCUUUGACUUAGUUUGAAAUGAAACAUCCUCCGAGUGAGACACUUGCGUUGCUCUAAUUAGCUACGAAGCCAUCCGUUCCUAGAGGAUGUGGGUCUUUGGAUGAAUUAUCCCAUCUCAUGUUUUGACUAUUUAGCCAUUCUAAUUUAUAUUUUCAGCGAUUAUCUUUUUAUGUUCAAUGCUUUUGAACAGUGAGUCUACUAUACAAGAAAAUGAGUUUGAUUAUGAAGAUGGGUUCCUACAGGAGAAAUUCUCAGGGUAAUGCAGUUUACAAUUUACUAUAUAAAAAGUUAAAUCUUACAAGAAAAUAUUUCAGCAGUACGAAAGUGCAAAUGGCAAGUUGAACGUGACUGUUUAUUGGUGACUCAGUGGGCGAUUUGCUAUGCCUGCUUGAAGCUGAUACCGAGGUCGAAGGUAAGGAGUAAGCAUAGUGUCAAUUUCUCUUCUAUCUCUGGGAUUGUAAAUAAGCAACUAAUCUUCUGGCUGGGAUAGUGUUUCUGGAGUGGUAGAGGGAUAGACCCGUAGCAGACCAAAGAGAUCCUAAUAUUUCUUGCAACUUUGGUCCGAUUGUUGAGAUUUUUCCCGUAUUACCUAUAUUGGGUUUUGUAAUAUUCAGCUGACCACUUAUUUCAAGUUUACUGGAGUUAUGUAAUUGGUGUCGGCUUAAUAACCUUCAUUAUUGUUAUACUACUUU